This 3318-nucleotide long non-coding RNA is filed under the name Lynx pardinus (Iberian lynx). Lineage: Eukaryota; Metazoa; Chordata; Mammalia; Carnivora; Felidae. The record is from RNAcentral.
GCAGCUUCACCUCCCGCCUCUCAGAGCCUCGAGCUUUGACAUGAGAAAUCCGUCUAGGCCGCCGGGAAGGGCAUAGGGGGCGGCAAGAUGAGGCCACCUUGGGCGCCCGGCGCAGUGGAGCCUUCCGAUGAUUCCAGCCCCAGCUGCCCUCCGACUGCAGCCGCGGGAGACACCCCCAAGCAAGAGCCUCCCCGCUGAGCCCUGCCAACCCCAGCAUCACGAGCCUAGGAAGCCACCGUUCCAAGCCAGCGUGUCCACAGGCGGUUCGCCACACAGCAGGGGACAACUGGAGGAGGGUCCUGCCGAGCCACUCCGCGGGGACAGGGGCGUCCCGUCCACCCUCACCGCCCGCCACCCCACGGCCAGACCUUCAGGCCGAACCGCAUUCAGACGCUCUCCUCCUUCACCCUGUCCCGGCUCAGGGUGGGCCCGCCACCUGGAAUGUCCUCGGCCUCCUUCGCCACUUGGGAAGACCCUUCUGGACUCAGCUCCUAAGAGGCCUCCGCUUUGUAGACCUUUCUAGUUAACGGUCAAGGCGGUUGCGCCGUCCCAAGGUUGGGAUCUGCCUGGGCUCACGCUCGCCAGCGGUAUGAACUCAGAUGGGCGCCUGCCUCUCUGGGCCCCAGCUUCUCACAUGCAAACUGGGGGGAUUAAUGCUAACAGCUGCCAUGAGGCCGUUGUGCAGAGAAAGCCAGGAACGGGGGUAACGCCCGUGGCCCGGGCUGUAAAUGGUGGCCGUGCCGAGCGAUUAGCUGCACCAUGCCUCCGCUGGCUCAGGGCCUAGCGCUGGGGGCGGGUCAUUGCACUCUGGCUCCCCUGAGGCCAGGCCCUCAACCCCCGGCAGAGUGGGUCCCCCGCAGUCCACGGCUCACUGCCCCCACCGCACCCCAGCACUCGCAGCCUUUGUCAAGUCACUGGUGCCCAAGAGGGGUUUGGUGGAGAAGGAAAGAUUCAGAGGAUCCUCCGCUAGUCUAGUUGGAAGGAUCUUCUAAUUUUUACUGAGGCCCAGAGAGGUAGAGGGCCUUGGCCGAGGUCACACAGCUCGCUCUGGAACUGGAUCCUAGGCCUCGGCUCCCUACCCUGCCCCUUGUCUGACACGGGGGCGGGGGGGCUCUGAGUCUCAGGGACACGUCCUCUCUGACUCCUCUGAAAUCUCUCGCGCCCUCCCUGCACCCGGAGCCACCUGAGAUGAAAUUACUCCACCGCCUGACGUCCGGCUCCUCCGUGGGCCCCACUCACCGUGGAGGGCACAGCCUGACCGGGGGUCCUCCCCGCCUGGCUCUUUUCUCCCUUCUUCCCUCUAGACGCAGUCAGCCAGCCAGCUCGGGGCACCUGUAGCGUGCCAGAGAUACUAGCUGUCCCGCACCCGCAGGGGCUUUGGGGGAAACCCAAACCCGCAUUGGGGGAAAGAUGGCAGGACGUGUUCAAAUGGCUCAACCUGCAAGCGUAAACGUGACCAGCAUGGAGGGCCAGCGCUCGGGCCUCCCGUGGUCCAGACGGGAGGCCUGAGGCUGGCGAGGUGUGUGGAGCCCAGGUCCCAGAAACUUGGCUCAAAGCCCAGCCUCUCCUCUUGGUAGAGCCAGGGGAUCUUGGGUGUGUUAUGUCUCCCAGCCUCACCUUCCCCACCUGUAAGAUGGGAGCACGAACACUUCCGCCAAGGACGAGCCCCGGCAUGGAGAACCCUGGGCCCCACUGGGCGUCCAGACCAACUCCCUUCCUUCAACACCUGACCGCCACUCACCACCACAUUUCCACCCUUCCUUCCGGUCAGUUCCUGGGUGAGUCUGGGUUCUAAAUACACUUGAGGGGGCCUGGGGCUCUGAGGCUUUGCGGCGAAGAGUCUAGAAGCUUUGAAGAGGGCCACAGGGUUCUGGAGAAUUCCUUCCUGCAGAGUGGCCGGUAUGGGCAGGCCAGGCCUUGGGUUAGGGGCCCGCAGGCCUCAGACACACAGCUCGGUCCACGUGGGAGUGUUGGGGAGGGAGGAUGAGUUUCUAUGUUCGUUGCACAGAGAGGGGUGUGUGUGUGUGUGUGUGUGUGUGUGUGUGUGUGUGUGUGUAUACACGGGCACUUGCCCAGUAUGGGGGGCUGGGAGUAGGGAGGGGGUGGCCCUGCAGCUGUCCCCAGCCCUGGGAGAGCUCUGCAGGCCACGCCUUUCCCCGCCACUGGAGCAACCCCAGAACCCUGAUUUGGAAGGAUGGCUACAGCCAGAUUAGAGCUCCCAGCUUCAAACGGAGCAGCAGGCCCCGGCAAUGGGGCUUAAAGGGGCCGCUGCAGUUAUAAACAGCCACCUUCUCCGGGACUCGCCCUUCCCUCCUGGGGGGAAUGUUCUGGCAGCCCCUUGGCUGGUGCCUGCAAGAGGGGUGUGCUCAAACAAAUAAGCCAGACUUCGCAUAUGAAGUAACACACUUGGUUUUAAGUUGCAGGGAGCCCCGAGUGUGUGUCGAGAGACCCUUCCAGCCGGUGACCCUGAGGACGCUGCCUGAGGUUUCCUCCAUUAUUAACGAACGUGCUUCCCUCUCCCCAGCUCUCUGGAGCUUAUGUGUCAGGCUCAGAAAUAGCUCGCGGGGAGGGGCUGGCAUCCCAUUCCUGGGUCUAGGCAACCGUGCCAUCCGUCUGGCCCCUCCGGGGCUCAGUUUCCCCACAGUUGGAGGAGAGGGGCGGGCAAGGAGGAGAGGUAAAGGGAGCAGGUGAUGCGUCACAGACCCAAGACCGGUUCUGGGUCAGACGCCGAGUCCCGGAACUAUCAAGGGCGGGAGCACCUCCAGUCCAGGCCCCGGCUCACAGAAAAGCAUGCCCACGGAAGGAAAUUUUGUUGCGCUUGUUAAAUGGCCAGUGACCUCCCCGCACCCCCCGCAACCCCCCCCCCCCCCCCCCCCCCCCCCCCCCCCCCGGGCCUCCCGCAGGUGCCUCUGUGCCCGCCAGGCGCUCUCUUCUCAGGGCCCUUCUUUUCCAUCUGAAUUGAAGGGAUGGACGGGGUGACAGGGACCGGCAGAGGGGGUGGGCAGGUGCUGUUGGAGCCCCAGUGCACACAGGGGAGGCUGGCGAGGUGGGCAGGGACUGACUUGCUCAGGGACUCACUGCCAGGAAGCGGCCCGGGUCGAGGGGGAUUAGAACUCCGCUCUACCUCAUUCCACACCCUCACCUCUUACCUUGUGCUCUGUGGGCCUGAUUACCCCACCGAUUGAUUAACUGAUUGGUUAGCUGAUUGAUCGCCUCCCCGCCAGCCUCCCGGGAAGCCCCCUUCCUCCCUCCCCCAUCGCCCGGCCACCACGGGGUCUCCGAAAUCCCACCGCAGGUGCCCCCCAAACCUCAGCCGGG